Molecule: non-coding RNA, 2850 nt
Organism: Ictidomys tridecemlineatus (thirteen-lined ground squirrel)
Lineage: Eukaryota; Metazoa; Chordata; Mammalia; Rodentia; Sciuridae
Source: RefSeq, a predicted model, not a curated record
UCUCCAUAGAAGCAGCUGUACAUAGGUAAGGUGGCUCAGUUGCCCCAGCAGCCCAGCCCCCACUUUGUGGCCUCAGGCACUCUGCCCGGGCCCCGCCCCCCGUGGGCUAGAGGGAGGUGCUGGCACCUGGGCAGUUCCCAUGGCAGCAUCUGAGAAGGCACAGGCAGCAGGGAGGAGGGGAGGAGUUCAGGGGCCCAAGAGAAGGGCGCUUUGUGAGUGGCCAGUUCCCAUGGCAACUGCAAGGCGCCUCCACAACAGCCAGGAACCCAGUAGCCAAGGCUAGAAGCUCUCAGGAAGCUCAGUGUUUGGAAGCCUGGAACUGUCCAUGUCUGCAGCCUGGAGCAGAACAUCGAUCGAGAUGGGAUAUUUGCAGCACUGACAUGCCCUAAAUUGUUCUGUUUCCAUUUCCUGGAAGCUAACACUUCUUGAGCAUUUGCAAGCCAAACACUGUGGUGGCUACUGGGACCCUAGGAAAAAGAUCCAGCCACUGGCCUUUGACUGACAGGGCUCCCAGCCUAGAGAGUGAGCUCAGCAUUCAGGAUUCUUAAAACAAACAUGUUCACAUGCAGUGACUGUCACUGUGGAGCAUCGGAUGGUUGUCACAACAGGAGUCCUGGUCAGCCCUAGCACAGUGUUAGAAUAGGACCAAGAGAAAACCAAGAAGAGAGGAUGCAGGAGGUGAGUGGAGGCCUCUGCAGUCUUCCAUGGACACCCACCAUCCGUCUGUCAAUCACUCCACAAGUUUGCAAGAACCAACACCCAGCUGCCCACUACUCUAGACACACUCAUCAGCCAAGAGGUGGUGAGUACGGUGGAGAGACAGAGGGAGGUAGGGAUGGGCGUUGGCGGAGAGGAAGGUGCCGCUCCACAGGAGGGACAGUGUGAAGAUUGGCCGGAAUUUCCACAUGGCAUCUGGGAACCAGACGCUCCAGGCAGAGGGACCAUGUACAGAAGCCCAAGGCAGGCAGGUGCAGGGAGUGUUCCAAGGAUGAGCAAGAAUCGGGCCUGCGACAGCAAGUGCAGAGGGCUAAGGUCAGAGGAGGAGGGAGGGGGUCUUAUAGGUACUGUUUGGUGCUUGGAUUUUACUCUCCGUGGAUGGGAAGCCGUGGCUUGUUUUACAUGUGCAGACUGUCACUCUGGCCACUCAGAGAUUAUGGGAACAAAAGUGUGAAGAGUAAACCAGCCAUGGCAGUAGGUCUGCCACUUAGUGGACAUUUGGAAAUUUCUUGAGAAGAUUUUGGUUGUCCCAAAUGGGGAAAGUGGUGGAUGCUAUUGGCAUCCAGUGGGUUGAAGCAGGUGUCUUAGCUCAUUUUCAUUGCUAUAACGGAAUGCCCAAGACUGUGUAAUUAUGAAGAAGUUCGUUUGGGCUUAAUGUUCUGGAAGCUGUGAAGUCCAAGGUCAGACCACUGCAUCUAGUGGUGGCCGCAUGCUGCUGUGCUUCACAAGGGAAAGGAAAGAGGGCACAUGGAGGUAGACUCACUUUAUACAGCCUCAUUGCUCAGUAAUAAGCCAAGUUCCACAAGAGCAAGAGCUUACUCUUCUGAGAAAGGCAUUCACGAAGGCUCCAUCCCACAACCCAAACAUCACUACUAGGUCCCAACACUGCCCCACUGGGGAAUUAGGGUUCCAACAUGUGAACUUCUGGGAGACAUGCUCAAACCCUGGCACCAGGGAUGCUGCUAGUCAUCCUACAGUCAGAGGACAGCUCCUGCCACCAAGAAUUAUGGGCCCUACAUGUGAAUAAUGCCAGGGAUGAGAAAUCCAGAAUUAGGGAUCACUGCCAUCUUCAAGGCAAGAGUCACUUGUUGUCUAGCUUCUGGGCACUUAGGCGGUGCCAGGCACCAGUCCCAGAACUGAGGCACAGCAAUGACUAAACCAGGCAAAGGUGUCUGCCCUCACGGAGCUCUGUGUGGCAGUGAUGGUGGAAGCCAAGAAGAGCCUGGAGUGCAGGGGUGGUGAGAAUAAUCCGAUUUUAUAAACAUCUGGUCAACUGCCAGGAUUUGCUGAGGACAGUGCUGCAGUAGGAGAGGAGUCUGUCAACCCCGGGGGCUUCACUUGGAGCAAUUGGAACUGAGUUAUCAUGCGCUGAGAUGGAACCUCCAGGACAGAAAGGGAUGGUGGGGAUGGGAAAUCGGGGGUGUUGUUUUGGAUGGAAUAAGUGGAAAUCAGGGCAAUUGGGUAUUUUAGUCUGGAGGUCAAAAAAAAAAAAGAGAAAGGUCUCUUUUGUAGGAGAUAACAUUUAGAAAUUGUCAAGGGUGAAGGAGAUCACCUGGGGGCUCUGCAAAUAGAAGACAUACCUGCAGCAAGCCUGAGCUCCCAUCGUGGAGACUGGAGACCAACGAGUAAGAGAAGACAAGCCCAGGAAGAGGGCAGGAGGCCGAAUGAAGGCUGGAUCUCCAAGAGGAGGGAGUGAUCAGACCAUGCCAGGAAGAAAAUCGGAAUCCCACCACCACCCUGUUUGUUCAAAUGACCAGUUUCUCCAGGGUGGCAGUGGCACAACCUGGUUCAUUCAGGAAGCUGUGAAGUCCAAGGUCAGACCACUGCAUCUAGUGGUGGCCUCAUGCUGCCGUGCUUCACAACGGAAAGGAAGAGGGUGCGUGGAGGUAGACUCACUUGAUAGCAGCCUCGUUGCUCAGUAAUAAACCCACCAUCUCUCCAGGGAUUUCAGCCUCUCUUAGGGGUGUGUUGUGGUUUGGAUGUGAGGUGUCCCCCAAAAGCUCACGUGUGAGACCAUGAAAGAAAGUUCAGUGGAGAGAUGAUUGGAUUAUGAGAGCCUUAACCUAAUCCGUGCCUUAAUUUGCUGAUAGAGAUUAAUUGGGUGGAAACUGUAGAAAUGUGGGAUGUGGCUGG